Molecule: long non-coding RNA, 772 nt
Filed under: Durio zibethinus
Lineage: Eukaryota; Viridiplantae; Streptophyta; Magnoliopsida; Malvales; Malvaceae
Description: long non-coding RNA (DZIB_LNC000880)
Source: RNAcentral
UGGUGUGCACCGAAUUAAGUGUUCAAUGUAGAAUUUACCUACACCAUUUCUCAACUGUUCAAUGUAGAAUUUAUGUGAUUCGAGUAAAAACUAUCUGAAUGCAAAUAGUUACGUUACAAGCUAUUUUGAUAUUUGAUAUUUGAUUUAGAUGUGUAGGGUGGAAUAGUGGAAAGCGAAAGCAAAAACAAACAGAACAAAAGUUAAAAACAACUUAAAACAUAACACAAAUUGAAGACACAGUAUGCUAAAAAUUCACUUAGGUAUUUUAACAAACAAUGAGCAGGUAAUGAAUGCGUUUAGUACAUAAAAAUAGGGCUUUUGGUGCUCGGUAAAGACUCUUUGCAGCACUUACACAAUAGUUACAAAGUGUUUUUCACACUAUUCUCAAAGCACAAUGUUACAAAUGCUGCACACAUUUCUGACUAAUCUAAAAAACAUAUAGAUUCAACUUGGUACAAAACUAGUCACACUUAGCAACCUAUUUGCUAGCAACGUAAACUCAUACCAACUCAAGCUACAGCUGUCAAUAACGGAAACCAAGUGGCACCAUACCAUGAGAGCCGAUGAUGACUCUUAACAAGAUGAAGUUUUUUGCUUUGGUGCGGGAUUUAUGGCUGAGACAUAGAGAAAAAAUGAAAGUACAAGAAGAGGGAAAAAAGGCAAGUUUGUUUUGUAGUUUAAUUUUAACAGAUUUUUUAAUUUUAUUAGAAAACUUUAAAAACAAGAUACCUUUUUUCUCAUAAGAAAUUCUUUUGAAAUAAAAUUCACAUCA